This 35-nucleotide small nuclear RNA is filed under the name Cervus elaphus hippelaphus. Lineage: Eukaryota; Metazoa; Chordata; Mammalia; Artiodactyla; Cervidae. The record is from RNAcentral.
AUCGCUUCCCGGCCUUUUGGCUAUGAUGAAGUGUA